GUUGAGUCUGUUGGGUUGUUUUGCUGGGUUAUUUUUUUACAUUUUAAACACUUUUUGGGUAGUUUCAGUUUUCUAGGUGUUGGGUUAAAACUGCUGGGUUAUUAUGUUGGGUUGUUUGAAGAGGCUCACGUGCUUCGCGCCCUUGAUGUUUGAAUGUGCUCAGCAAUGGUCGUCGUGAAAGGACAGAGUCACUGAAGCAGUUGUUUCAAGAGUGUGCAGAGUUUUAACGUCCAUCCAUUGAUGAGGCUAGCAAGACCUUCAUACAACUUCAGCCAAUUGCAACAAAUGUGGUGGAAUUUCUUCACUGGACAGAAUCCUCGAAACCCUUUCCUUUCAUCCUGACCAUGGGAAACAUGCAGCAGAUCUCUCAAUCUUUUUUCUCAAUCAGUCUCUCUGAAUACGGAAGUGACUUAAACUGCAAUUCGGCCAAGAUGGCGACGGCACGCACCGCCUACUUUAAGCUUCAAAAAUGCUCUUCACAAACCAAUAGGUGACGUCACGGACACUACUUGCAUAUUUUUUACAGUCUCUGGUUUAAAGGCAUUUUAAGUGCUUAAAUACCCCAGGCAAUGUGCUUCUAUGGGAAUUCCUGUAGUCUGUCAUUUUUCAAAUGGAUGAAUCCCCUGCUGUUCGAAUCCUUUGUACAUCUUUGUUCGCGGCGA
Misgurnus anguillicaudatus (oriental weatherfish) is the source of this 662-nucleotide non-coding RNA. The record is from RefSeq and is a predicted model, not a curated record. Lineage: Eukaryota; Metazoa; Chordata; Actinopteri; Cypriniformes; Cobitidae.